GAUGAACGCUGGCGGCGUGCCUAAUACAUGCAAGUCGAGCGAACGGACGAGAAGCUUGCUUCUCUGAUGUUAGCGGCGGACGGGUGAGUAACACGUGGAUAACCUACCUAUAAGACUGGGAUAACUUCGGGAAACCGGAGCUAAUACCGGAUAAUAUUUUGAACCGCAUGGUUCAAAAGUAAAAGACGGUCUUGCUGUCACUUAUAGAUGGAUCCGCGCUGCAUUAGCUAGUUGGUAAGGUAACGGCUUACCAAGGCAACGAUGCAUAGCCGACCUGAGAGGGUGAUGGCCCCAAGUGGAACGGGACCAGGGUCCGUCCCCCUAGGGGGGGCAGCAGAGGGGAAUGUUCGGAAGUGGUGGAAAACCUGGCGGACCGCCGCGGAGUGAGUUGGAAAGGUCUUGGGUGCGUAAACCUUUUUUUUGGGGGAAAAAAAUAUGUAAAAGUACCUGUGCACUUAUUGAGGUUACUUAAUAAAAAAGCCCGGGCUAACUACGCG
RNAcentral lists this ribosomal RNA (497 nucleotides) under uncultured bacterium. RNAcentral's name for it is "partial 16S ribosomal RNA". It matches the Rfam family "Bacterial small subunit ribosomal RNA", at positions 28 to 507 of the family's 1533-position model. The record is from RNAcentral.